UACGUAGGGGGCAAGCGGUGUUCGGAAUCACUGGGCGUAAAGCGCGUGUAGGCGGCUUGGCAAGUCGGGUGUGAAAUCCCGAGGCUCAACCUCGGAACUGCACUCGAAACUGCCUGGCUCGAGUCCCGGAGAGGGUGGCGGAAUUCCCGGUGUAGGGGUGAAAUCCGUAGAUAUCGGGAGGAACACCAGUGGCGAAGGCGGCCACCUGGACGGUGACUGACGCUGAGACGUGAAAGCGUGGGGAGCAAACAGG
Molecule: ribosomal RNA, 253 nt
Filed under: uncultured bacterium
Lineage: Bacteria
Description: partial 16S ribosomal RNA
Rfam family: Bacterial small subunit ribosomal RNA
Source: RNAcentral